RNAcentral lists this long non-coding RNA (1190 nucleotides) under Junco hyemalis (dark-eyed junco). Its description in RNAcentral is "lncRNA (ENSJHYG00000003266.1)". The record is from RNAcentral. Lineage: Eukaryota; Metazoa; Chordata; Aves; Passeriformes; Passerellidae.
NNNNNNNNNNNNNNNNNNNNNNNNNNUGGUUUUACUCUCCAAACCCUGCUGGUUUUUCUCUCCAAACCCUGAUCUUUUUACCCUCCCAACCUUGCUCUUUCUGCCCUCCCACCCCUGUCCUUUUUGCCAUCCAAAUCCUGCUCCUUUUGCUCCUCAAACCCUGCUGGUUUUACUCUCCAAACCCAUCUCUUUUUACUCUCCAAACCCUGCUCAUUUUGCUCCCCAAUCCCUGCUGGUUUUACCCUCCAAACCCUGCUGGUUUUACCUUCCAAACCCUGCUGUUUUUGCCAUCCAAAACCUGUUCCUUUUGCUCCCCAAAGUCCACUGGUUUUACCCUUCCAACACUGCUGGUUUUAUUCUCUAAACUCUGCUCCUUUUGCUUUCCAAAUUCUACUUUUGGGUCUCCAAACCCUGCUGGGUUUGCCCUCCAAACCCUUCUCCUUUUACUCCCCAAACCCUGCUGGUUUUACUCUCCAAACCCAGCUCUUUUUUUCUCUCCAAACCCUGCACUUUUUGCUCCCCAACCCAGCUCUUUUUGCCAUCCAAACCCUUCUCCUUUUGCUCCCCAAAACCUGCUCUUUUUACUCCCCAAACCCUGCUGGGUUUACUCUCCACACCCUGCUCCUUUUGCCAUCCAAACUCUGCUCUUUUUACCGUCCAAACCCUGCUGGUUUUACCCUCCAAACCCAGUUCUUUUUGCCCUCCAAACCCUGCCCUUUUUCUCCCCUAACCCUGCUAGUUUUACUCUCCAAACCCUGCUGGUUUUACUCUCCAAACCCUGCCCUUUCCCCCCUCCAAACCCUGUUGCUUUUACUCUCCCAGCCCUGCUCUUUUUGCCCCUCAAACCAACACCGGCACCCAGCGCUUGCCGAGCCCCGUGCCCGAGCCCCUCCCGGCUCUGCCGGGGCUGAAUUCAUCCCCUGCCCGGGCAGGCGCCGGCCUCUCGUCGCUCCUUUGUGCCUGGGGGCCCCACAACACGGAUUUCAUUCACUGCCACCCAUUGUCCCCGCUCAUUCAGCGACAUGCACCGCGCUGGUUGUGACCGCGGGCCGGCACAAAGCGCUCCCCGCGCGUUCCGCCCCGAUUUGCCAUUAGCGAGGAGGGGAAGGGGGGGGACACUCGGGGAGAAGAAUAAUCCCGGGCUCGGUGACACGUUCCAGGCACUCGAGUGGCCCCGGAGUCCAUCACAC